GAUCUCACUGGGAACUUGAUUCCCCUGAAGGGCCGUCGAAGACUACGACGUUGAUAGGCUGGGUGUGUAAGCGUUGUGAGGCGUUGAGCUAACCAGUACUAAUUGCCCGUGAGGCUUGACCAUAUAACACCCAAACA
RNAcentral lists this ribosomal RNA (137 nucleotides) under Pseudomonas aeruginosa. RNAcentral describes it as "partial 23S ribosomal RNA". The stretch from base 1 to 123 matches the Rfam family "Bacterial large subunit ribosomal RNA", at positions 2808 to 2925 of the family's 2925-position model. Lineage: Bacteria; Pseudomonadati; Pseudomonadota; Gammaproteobacteria; Pseudomonadales; Pseudomonadaceae. The record is from RNAcentral.